AUGCUGCGCCACCUCGACCCGACGCGCCGUCCGCGGGAGAGCCACUCGAUCACCGUUGCCUCCCUGGCGGUGGAUCAAGCCGUCUUCUUCCUUCGCAACCAUGCCGUCACUCUGCGCUCUGCCGACGGGGUGAACGCCACAUCCCCCAUGGCGGUGGGAAGGGCAAUCGAGGCGCAGCUCACUGUCCCCGAGCACCUGCUGCGAGUUACCGCCCACCACCCCGAGCACUACCUCGUCAUCUUCAGCCAGCCGGCGCACCAAGUCAACGCCGUCCGGAGGGGCUCCGUUCGGGUCGACGGCGCCACCUUCAACAUCGCACCGUGGCACGAACACGACCACGCCAGCUUCGACACGCUGCACCUGCACGUCCGCGUCGUCAUCGAGAAGGUUCCCAUGUAGUUCUGGUCGGUUGAAGGGGCGGAUGAGAUCCUGGGCAAGCGUGUGCGCGUUGACCGCCUCGACGGCCGGACCCAUGAGCGCGGCCACACCAAGACCUUCGCGUGCUGGGUAUGGACCAGCGAUGUCGCCAACAUCCCCACCAAGCAUUCGCUGGGGGUGUUGCCGCGCGGUGCCGGUCGGGUGGAAGAGAUGGAGGGUUUCUCUCCCCCCGACAGGCGGGUGGCUCCCCCGCCAACCGCUGCUGACUACACCAUGCUCAUCCACGUCGAUCGCGUUGAAGAUUGGACGCCGCCCUCGCCGCGCUCUUCCCGCUCUAGGCAGAGCGGGCUUCCGUCCUCCGACUCCGACAAGGACGACCGCCCCUUCCCCGAGGUCCUCUCCGGCACGUGGACGAUGGAGGUCGAAGAUGGCCAGCAUGGCAAUUGA
Molecule: ribosomal RNA, 825 nt
Filed under: Triticum aestivum (bread wheat)
Lineage: Eukaryota; Viridiplantae; Streptophyta; Magnoliopsida; Poales; Poaceae
Description: partial small subunit ribosomal RNA
Source: RNAcentral